This 269-nucleotide ribosomal RNA is filed under the name uncultured prokaryote. RNAcentral describes it as "partial 16S ribosomal RNA". It matches the Rfam family "Bacterial small subunit ribosomal RNA", at positions 524 to 792 of the family's 1533-position model. The record is from RNAcentral.
UACGGAGGAUCCGAGCGUUAUCCGGAUUUAUUGGGUUUAAAGGGUGCGCAGGCGGGAGAUUAAGUCGGCGGUGAAAUUUUGCAGCUCAACUGUAAAAGUGCCUUCGAAACUGGUUUCCUUGAGUGUAGAUGAAGUAGGCGGAAUUUGUGGUGUAGCGGUGAAAUGCUUAGAUAUCACGAGGAACUCCGAUUGCGCAGGCAGCUUACUAAACCACUACUGACGCUCAUGCACGAAGGCGUGGGGAUCAAACAGGAUUAGAUACCCUGGUA